This 460-nucleotide ribosomal RNA is filed under the name uncultured bacterium. RNAcentral's name for it is "partial 16S ribosomal RNA". It matches the Rfam family "Bacterial small subunit ribosomal RNA", at positions 338 to 795 of the family's 1533-position model. The record is from RNAcentral.
CCUACGGGUGGCAGCAGUGAGGAAUAUUGGUCAAUGGGCGGAAGCCUGAACCAGCCAAGUAGCGUGCAGGAUGACAGCCCUACGGGUUGUAAACUGCUUUUAUACGGGAAUAACGCGCCUUACGUGUAGGGCUUUGCAUGUACCGUAUGAAUAAGGACCGGCUAAUUCCGUGCCAGCAGCCGCGGUAAUCCGGAUGGUCCGGGCGUUAUCCGGAUUUAUUGGGUGUAAAGGGAGCGUAGGCCGCAUGUCAAGCGUGCUGUGAAAUGUCCGGGCUCAACCCGGGCCUUGCAGCGCGAACUGGGGUGCUUGAGUCCGCGGAAAGCAGGCGGAAUUCGUCGUGUAGCGGUGAAAUGCUUAGAUAUGACGAAGAACCCCGAUUGCGAAGGCAGCUUGCUGCAGUGGAACUGACGCUGAUGCUCGAAAGCGCGGGUAUCGAACAGGAUUAGAUACCCCAGUAGUC